Molecule: long non-coding RNA, 2321 nt
Filed under: Oryctolagus cuniculus (rabbit)
Lineage: Eukaryota; Metazoa; Chordata; Mammalia; Lagomorpha; Leporidae
Description: lncRNA (ENSOCUG00000036780.1)
Source: RNAcentral
AUGGGAGAGACGAGCGCACCCCUGUCCUCCAUGGUCCUUGGCAGGAGGAGAUGGAAGCCGAGUCGGAGGGGAAGGGCUGGCGACACCCCUGCAGUCCCCGUCUGUGAGCCGCCGCCUCUGUCCACAGAGGAGAGAAGGGCUGUGAACUGGCACAGGUGCGGAUUUUUCCAGAUUAACUCAGGAUGUAAAAGAUGGGACAGAGGCUUGGCCACAUUCAUAGAACUUGGUCAUCUGAGGAGCUGGAAUCUGGUGGUUGCGAGUAACAGGAGAGCAAAGGCUGUUGCAACGUCAAGGAGGGACCCCGGCAUGAGCUCCUUUUUAGUGUCAACCAUCAGAGGCGGUUGCUAUGGAAGAACUGACGUCACAGAGAUCAGGGCGUUGAAACCACGUGCGGAGGAGACAAAAUGCGCAGCCGCAGUAGCUGCGCGGCCCCCACCUGCCUCCCGCCCCUUGCGCUCCGUCACUCCCGCUUCCUCGGUGCCCUGCAGUUGCCCUGCAGGGAAGCAGGAUCCCCGCCAGUGGUGCGGGGCCCUCGGGGCCAGGACGGCCUCUGCCGCCCCCCUGCACGUGCCCACUGCGUCUUCCCGAGGCGCCUGGCAGCGCAGCGCGGCUGCUGGGGGCCGGGAGGCGAGGCCGAGGCUGAACCGCCCGCUGCAGCCGCGUAGGAUGGCGCUUGCUCUGCGCCACUGGGAGAGGCGCGCCCACGUCCUGCUCGCUUCUCCGUCGUCAGCCGGAUUUCCCGUUAGCUGCGGAGGAGCCUCGCGACCCCCACCACGCUCACCGAGCAUCGUCACAGCGUGGCUGACUCAGACCUUGGGCGGGCGUUUCUGGGCCAGUCCUGCCACGCCAGGCUGUAACACACUCUGCACCAGCGGCACCUCCCCAGGGCUCAUUCUGUGGGAAUUCCCACCCCAAUCCUCCCCCAAGCCCCAGGUUUCCACCCCUCCGCCGUCUGUCCAUGCACUCGCCCGUUACCCAUCAUCCACCUGUGCAAAAACUGACGACCGAGGGGCCACGGAGAGGCAGGAAUCUGGGAACGCGGAAGUCACGUCUGUCAUUGGGGCUCCUCAGCCAUUUGUGUGCAGUGCACAGCCCGUGCAGUCGAUACUGCACUUAUCCGCCCAUGCGCAGUCGUCAGACUCUCCAGGUGGUUCUCGGAAGUUCUCUGCUGCGAGAGCGAAGGUCCUUGGAAGGAGCUCUGGGGCACCAACAGAGGUUGUGUCAUCCCGGAGGAGCACAGGCGGAGGGCGUGGCCACGCUCCUUUGUGGCCCCUGCAGAGGUAAAUCAGAGCAAGGUGUCUCACCCGUGGCUGGAGAUCAGUUUGAGGAACAAUUUGCAAACUCUGAAGUGCUUUGCGAGUUGCUGUGAGUUCACACAAGUCGGGAUCACCACAGUUGUCCUGAUCACUUGAGAAUCUCCAGGCAAUCUAGUAUCAUCAGCAGAAGUCAAUUGUUACUGUUGUUACUAUCACGAUCAAUGGGAUUUGGAAUUCUUUCAAGUUAAAAAUUGUUACAAAAUUAAACAGAAACAAUGUUGAAUUUUCUUCUUCAUUUUCCAUGUGUUCUCACACUAAUUCUGAUCAGUGGCACGUUCCCCCUGGCAACUGCACACUCACCUUUUGUGUGUGUUGACUUUUUUACACUGGUUCAAAACUCCACACUUGUAAAAGAUUGAAAAAAAAAAAACCCUCUGGCGAGCUUGAAUGUGAAGCUGAAUGCUGAACUGCCAAGUGCUCUAUGUGCUUAUCUCAACACCAAGUUCAGGUCCACUGGGGUUUCCAGGCAUUGGAAACAGUUCCCCGGGCAGCCUUCUGAAACUGGGCAAGAACUGCUUCCAGAUUACUUGCGAUUGUUCGCGUGGCCUCACUUCUAUUUAAUUGGAAAAAUAGAUUCAGGAAGGUUUUUCCCACUCAUUACUCAGGAAUGCCUGGCCUGGGUGGGGAACAGGUGCUCGUGAGGCUGGGAAAUGGUGCAGAAGCAGAGCACAGAGGCGCCACCCACGCUCUGCAACAGCAGUGGUUUGUGAAGGGAAGGGGAGAAAGGAAAGGCAAGGCAGGAAGGCUCCCGGGGUUGAGGAACGGGCUCCGUGGGCUGUAGGGGCACCGAGGGGGCAGGGGCAGAGUCCAGGCUGCAGGGGGCACCAAUGGGGUGGGGGCAGAGUCCAGGCUGCUCCUAAGAGGCAGCACGAUUCAGGAUGGGGCUCUCAUCACAGGAAAAUCAUCUUCAAGGCGGGAGCAAGGUGAAGUGUGCAGAGCUGACGUGGAGGGCGAGAGAACGAGAGUGGGGAGUGGGUGACUUGGAAAGGAGAGGGGGAGGCAGCA